This 52-nucleotide transfer RNA is filed under the name Calamus dransfieldii. RNAcentral describes it as "partial tRNA-His". The record is from RNAcentral. Lineage: Eukaryota; Viridiplantae; Streptophyta; Magnoliopsida; Arecales; Arecaceae. RNAcentral also lists the same sequence under 3 other names.
AUAAAUACAAUAAUGAUGAAUGGAAAAAAGAGAAAAUCCUUUAGCUAGAUAA